AUCACUUCUCAGUCUUUUGACUAAGACCAAGUGUAGUAUCUGUUCUUAUCAGUUUAAUAAAUAUAAGUUUACUUCUGGACUCUCG
Molecule: small nuclear RNA, 85 nt
Filed under: Pteropus vampyrus (large flying fox)
Lineage: Eukaryota; Metazoa; Chordata; Mammalia; Chiroptera; Pteropodidae
Description: U2 spliceosomal RNA (ENSPVAG00000028960.1)
Rfam family: U2 spliceosomal RNA
About the family: U2 is a small nuclear RNA (snRNA) component of the spliceosome (involved in pre-mRNA splicing). Complementary binding between U2 snRNA (in an area lying towards the 5' end but 3' to hairpin I) and the branchpoint sequence (BPS) of the intron results the bulging out of an unpaired adenosine, on the BPS, which initiates a nucleophilic attack at the intronic 5' splice site, thus starting the first of two transesterification reactions that mediate splicing.
Source: RNAcentral